GUUGGUGGAGUGAUUUGUCUGGUUAAUUCCGUUAACGAACGAGACCUCGACCUGCUAAAUAGUUCGGCGUAUCUUCUGAUACGUAACGUGACUUCUUAGAGGGACUAUCAGGAGAGUAUCCGAUGGAAGUUCGAGGCAAUAACAGGU
RNAcentral lists this ribosomal RNA (147 nucleotides) under Cercozoa sp. RNAcentral describes it as "partial small subunit ribosomal RNA". It matches the Rfam family "Eukaryotic small subunit ribosomal RNA", at positions 1297 to 1461 of the family's 1831-position model. Lineage: Eukaryota; Cercozoa. The record is from RNAcentral.